This 495-nucleotide ribosomal RNA is filed under the name uncultured bacterium. RNAcentral's name for it is "bacterial SSU rRNA". It matches the Rfam family "Bacterial small subunit ribosomal RNA", at positions 29 to 525 of the family's 1533-position model. The record is from RNAcentral.
AGCGAACGUUUGCGGCGGGCCUAACACAUGCAAGUCGAACGCACUAGCAAUAGUGAGUGGCGCACGGGUGCGUAACACGUGGGUAAUCAACCCUUCAGCUUGGGAUAACGACUUGAAAGGGUUGCUAAUACCGGAUACGGCGCGGGAGGCUUCGGCUUCUCACGAGAAAGCCUCGCAAGGGGCACUGAAGGACGAGCCUGCGGCCCAUCAGCUAGUUGGUGAGGUAAGAGCUCACCAAGGCGAAGACGGGUAACUGGUCUGAGAGGAUGAUCAGCCACACUGGAACUGAGACACGGUCCAGACUCCUACGGGAGGCAGCAGCGGGGAAUAUUGCGCAAUGGGCGAAAGCCUGACGCAGCCACGCCGCGUGAGCGAUGAAGGCCUUCGGGUCGUAAAGCUCUGUGGGGAGAGACGAAGAAAGCCCGUGAAGAGCGGGCCUUGACGGUAUCUCCUUAGCAAGCACCGGCUAACUCCGUGCCAGCAGCCGCGGUAAUC